AGAGUUUGAUCCUGGCUCAGGAUAAACGCUGGCGGCGUGCAUAAAACAUGCAAGUCGAACGGACCACUUCGGUGGUCAGUGGCGGACGGCUGAGUAACACGUAAGUGACCUGCCCUCCAGUGGGGAAUAACUGCUCGAAAGAGUGGCUAAUACCGCAUAUGCUCACGGCUUCGUUUUCGUGAGGAAAGAAUUUCGCUGGGGGAUGGGCUUGCGGCCGAUUAGCUAGUUGGCGGGGUAAGGGCCCACCAAGGCGAUGAUCGGUAGCUGGUCUGAGAGGAUGAUCAGCCAGACUGGGACUGCGACACGGCCCAGACUCCUACGGGAGGCAGCAGUUAGGAAUUUUGCGCAAUGGACGAAAGUCUGACGCAGCAACGCCGCGUGGAGGACGAAGGCCCUCGGGUCGUAAACUCCUUUUCCAGGGGAAGAUGGUGACGGUACCCUGGGAAUAAGCCCCGGCUAACUACGUGCCAGCAGCCGCGGUAAUACGUAGGGGGCGAGCGUUGUCCGGAUUUAUUGGGCGUAAAGAGCGCGUAGGCGGCCAGUCAAGUCGUGCGUGAAAUACCCCGGCUCAACCGGGGGGAGUCGUGCGAUACUGGCGGGCUCGAGGCCGGUAGGGGGAAGUGGAAUUCCCGGUGUAGUGGUGGAAUGCGUAGAUAUCGGGAGGAACACCAGUGGCGAAGGCGGCUUCCUGGACCGGUCCUGACGCUGAGGCGCGAAAGCGUGGGGAGCGAACUGAAUUAGAUACUCAGGUAGUCCACGCCGUAAACGAUGGAUGCUAGGUGUCGGGGGUAUCGACCCCUCCGGUGCCGCAGCUAACGCAUUAAGCAUCCCGCCUGGGGAGUACGGCCGCAAGGCUAAAACUCAAAUGAAUUGACGG
Molecule: ribosomal RNA, 877 nt
Filed under: uncultured bacterium
Lineage: Bacteria
Description: bacterial SSU rRNA
Rfam family: Bacterial small subunit ribosomal RNA
Source: RNAcentral